GAUGAACGCUGGCGGCGUGCCUAAUACAUGCAAGUCGAGCGAACAGACGAGGAGCUUGCUCCUCUGACGUUAGCGGCGGACGGGUGAGUAACACGUGGAUAACCUACCUAUAAGACUGGGAUAACUUCGGGAAACCGGAGCUAAUACCGGAUAAUAUAUUGAACCGCAUGGUUCAAUAGUGAAAGACGGUUUUGCUGGCACUUAUAGAUGGAUCCGCGCCGCAUUAGCUAGUUGGUAAGGUAACGGCUUACCAAGGCAACGAUGCGUAGCCGACCUGAGAGGGUGAUCGGCCACACUGGACCUGAGCCACGGUCCAGACUCCUACGGGAGGCAGCAGUAGGGAAUCUUCCGCAAUGGGCGAAAGCCUGACGGAGCAACGCCGCGUGAGUGAUGAAGGUCUUCGGAUCGUAAAACUCUGUUAUUAGGGAAGAACAAAUGUGUAAGUAACUAUGCACGUCUUGACGGUACCUAAUCAGAAAGCCACGGCUAACUACGUG
This 497-nucleotide ribosomal RNA is filed under the name uncultured bacterium. RNAcentral describes it as "partial 16S ribosomal RNA". It matches the Rfam family "Bacterial small subunit ribosomal RNA", at positions 28 to 507 of the family's 1533-position model. The record is from RNAcentral.